CACACAUGAAAAAAGCGGACAAAAAGUCCAAGGUAGAUGUGGCUAGAGGGUCCAAGGAUUCGAGAGACUGCCAUCAUGAUCGCUUGCUUGCUGAUCUAACCUCCAGGGAUCGAGCUCAACUCUACCAAGAGCAUGUUUUGGAUAGAACCAGGGACACAGUAAAAUUAGAUAUACUGGACCAUGUAGUGGUAGAAGAAGUUUUUGUAGAAUGCUUCAAGCCCGGCGGAUAUAUGCACUCAAACAUUUUCUUCUUACAAUCUCUAUUGUGGAAUAGAGUGUGGAAGGGCAAAUAUAUUUUAUCUGAACAGGCAUCUGGCGAGUUGUUGCGACCGCGACAUGGAACAAAAAGGUUAGAUCAGGAGCUUGGAUUGCAUUAUGGUGAGGAAGCUCUGAUAUUUAUCCCAAUUGUUCAUGAUUAUCAUUGGUUCUUGAUCGCGAUCUCUGUCAAGGACAGGAUCAUCCAUGUUCUUGAUUCAUUGCCUGGC
This is a long non-coding RNA of Panicum virgatum (switchgrass), 485 nucleotides long. RefSeq lists it as uncharacterized. The record is from RefSeq and is a predicted model, not a curated record. The transcript has 4 exons. Lineage: Eukaryota; Viridiplantae; Streptophyta; Magnoliopsida; Poales; Poaceae.